RNAcentral lists this unclassified non-coding RNA (312 nucleotides) under Diademospora sp. Its description in RNAcentral is "partial contains 5.8S ribosomal RNA, internal transcribed spacer 2, and large subunit ribosomal RNA". The record is from RNAcentral. Lineage: Eukaryota; Fungi; Ascomycota.
AACGCUCCUUGCGCCCUUUGGUAUUCCGAAGGGCAUGCCAGUUUGAGUGUCAUUAAAUUCUCAACCCAAAAAGCUUUUACGAGCUCUUUUGUGGCUUGGAUGUGGGGGUUUUUGCUGGCUUCCUUCAGUGGAUGGUCUGCUCCCCUUAAAUGCAUUAGUGGGAUCUCUUGUGGACCGUCACUUGGUGUGAUAAUUAUCUACGCCUCGUCGACUUUGAAGCAAACUUAUGGGAACCUGCUUAUAACCGUCUCGCAAGAGACAACUUUCUGACAUUUUGACCUCAAAUCAGGUAGGACUACCCGCUGAACUUAA